UUUAGUACAGUGGGGGAAACGCUGAUCUAGCCAUCCCGCGUGUAUGAUGUAGGCCUUCGUGUCGUAUAGUACUUCUGGCAGAGACGCAACGGUAUCUCCUAAUAUGAGAUACUGCUUACGGUACAUGCAGAAUAAGCACCGGCUAACUAAGUGACAGCACCAGCGGCAAUACGUAGGGUGCAAGCGUUAAUCGGAAUUCAUGGGCUUAAAGCGUAUGUAGGCGGUUCGGAAAGAAAGAUGUGAAAGCCAAGGGCUCAACCUUGGAACUGCAUUUUUAACUGCCGAGCUAGAGUAUGUGAGAGGGAGGGAGAAUUCCACGUGUAGCAGUGAAAUGCGUAGAUAUAUGGAGGAAUACCGAUGGCAAAGGCAGCCCCCUGGGAUAAUACUGACGCUCAGACACGAAAGCGUGGGGAGCAAACAGG
RNAcentral lists this ribosomal RNA (422 nucleotides) under uncultured bacterium. RNAcentral describes it as "partial 16S ribosomal RNA". It matches the Rfam family "Bacterial small subunit ribosomal RNA", at positions 362 to 776 of the family's 1533-position model. The record is from RNAcentral.